AUAAUACUCCAUAGAUUAGAGACACUGGAAUGUUCUUUAGUCGAAAGUUCUGGCGCCUUAGGAUGGAUCUGCGGUCGAUUAGGUUGUUGUUGGGGUAACGGCCCAACAAGCCUGUAAUCGAUACGGGUUGUGGGAGCAAUAGCCCGGAGAUGGAAUCUGAGACAAGAUUCCAGGCCCUACGGGGCGCAGCAGGCGCGAAAACUUUACAAUGCAGGAAACUGUGAUAAGGGAACCCCGAGUGCCCGUAUACGCGGGCUGUCCAGGUGUUUAAAAGUCAUCUGAAGAAAGGGCCGGGCAAGACCGGUGCCAGCCGCCGCGGUAAUACCGGCGGCUCGAGUGGUGGCCACUAUUAUUGGGCUUAAAGCGUCCGUAGCUGGACUGAUAAGUCUCUUGGGAAAUCCGCCGGCUCAACCGGCGGGCGUCUAAGGGAUACUGUUGGUCUAGGGACCGGGAGAGGUGAGAGGUACUCCGGGGGUAGGAGUGAAAUCCUGUAAUCCCCGGGGGACCACCGAUGGCGAAGGCAUCUCACCAGAACGGCUCCGACAGUGAGGGACGAAAGCUGGGGGAGCAAAGCGGAUUAAAUACCCGGGUAGUCCAGCCGUAAACUAUGCGCGUUAGGUGU
This 622-nucleotide ribosomal RNA is filed under the name uncultured archaeon. RNAcentral describes it as "bacterial SSU rRNA". It matches the Rfam family "Archaeal small subunit ribosomal RNA", at positions 146 to 774 of the family's 1478-position model. The record is from RNAcentral.